UACGUAGGGUGCAAGCGUUGUCCGGAAUUAUUGGGCGUAAAGAGCUCGUAGGCGGUUUGUCGCGUCUGCUGUGAAAACCCGAGGCUCAACCUCGGGCCUGCAGUGGGUACGGGCAGACUAGAGUGCGGUAGGGGAGAUUGGAAUUCCUGGUGUAGCGGUGAAAUGCGCAGAUACCAGGAGGAACACCGGUGGCGAAGGCGGAUCUCUGGGCCGUAACUGACGCUGAGGAGCGAAAGCAUGGGGAGCGAACAGG
This 253-nucleotide ribosomal RNA is filed under the name uncultured bacterium. Its description in RNAcentral is "partial 16S ribosomal RNA". It matches the Rfam family "Bacterial small subunit ribosomal RNA", at positions 524 to 776 of the family's 1533-position model. The record is from RNAcentral.